Molecule: ribosomal RNA, 467 nt
Filed under: uncultured Alphaproteobacteria bacterium
Lineage: Bacteria; Pseudomonadati; Pseudomonadota; Alphaproteobacteria
Description: bacterial SSU rRNA
Rfam family: Bacterial small subunit ribosomal RNA
Source: RNAcentral
GAGUUUGAUCGUGGCUCAGAACGAACGCUGGCGGCAGGCCUAACACAUGCAAGUCGAACGCUCCGCAAGGGGAGUGGCGCACGGGUGAGUAACGCGUGGGAACGUGCCCUUAGGUACGGAACAACAGUUGGAAACGACUGCUAAUACCGUAUGAUGUCUUCGGACCAAAGAUUUAUCGCCUAAGGAUCGGCCCGCGUUAGAUUAGGUAGUUGGUGGGGUAAAAGCCCACCAAGCCUACGAUCUAUAGCUGGUCUCAGAGGAUGAUCAGCCACACUGGAACUGAGACACGGUCCAGACUCCUACGGGAGGCAGCAGUGAGGAAUAUUGGACAAUGGGCGCAAGCCUGAUCCAGCCAUGCCGCGUGAAUGAUGAAGGCCUUAGGGUUGUAAAGUUCUUUUAGCUGUGACGAUGAUGACGGUAGCAGCAGAAAAAGCCCCGGCUAACUCCGUGCCAGCCGCCGCAGUAAG